This 253-nucleotide ribosomal RNA is filed under the name uncultured bacterium. RNAcentral's name for it is "partial 16S ribosomal RNA". It matches the Rfam family "Bacterial small subunit ribosomal RNA", at positions 524 to 776 of the family's 1533-position model. The record is from RNAcentral.
UACGAAGGGGGCUAGCGUUGUUCGGAAUCACUGGGCGUAAAGCGCACGUAGGCGGCCAUGUAAGUCGGAUGUGAAAGCCCCGGGCUUAACCCGGGAAGUGCAUUCGAUACUGCGUGGCUUGAGUAUCGGAGAGGAUGGUGGAAUUCUCGGUGUAGAGGUGAAAUUCGUAGAUAUCGAGAGGAACACCGGUGGCGAAGGCGGCCAACUGGACGAAUACUGACGCUGAGACACGAAAGCGUGGGGAGCAAACAGG